This 392-nucleotide ribosomal RNA is filed under the name Protaspa sp. RNAcentral describes it as "partial small subunit ribosomal RNA". It matches the Rfam family "Eukaryotic small subunit ribosomal RNA", at positions 587 to 975 of the family's 1831-position model. The record is from RNAcentral. Lineage: Eukaryota; Cercozoa; Thecofilosea; Cryomonadida; Protaspidae.
AGCUCCAGUAGCGUAUAUUAAAGUUGUUGCAGUUAAAAAGCUCGUAGUUGGAUUUCUGGUCUAAUGCGCCUGGCCCGCCGCGGUUACGUGUGUGAGUGCCGGUGUGCGUUGACCAUCUUCCUAGGAAACGGUGCUACCCUUCACUGGGUUGGCGCCGCGAUCUAGGACUUUUACUUUGAAAAAAUUAGAGUGUUUAAAGCAGGCUUUUGCUAUGAAUACAUUAGCAUGGAAUAAUAAUCUAGGACUUCGGUUCUAUUUUGUUGGUUUCUAGGACUGAAGUAAUGAUUGAUAGGGAUCGUUGGGGGUGCUAGUAUUGGCCGGCCAGAGGUGAAAUUCUUGGAUUCGGCUAAGACUAACUUAUGCGAAAGCAUUCACCAAGGAGGUCUUCUUUA